RNAcentral lists this unclassified non-coding RNA (353 nucleotides) under soil metagenome. RNAcentral's name for it is "partial contains 5.8S ribosomal RNA, internal transcribed spacer 2, and large subunit ribosomal RNA". The stretch from base 1 to 121 matches the Rfam family "5.8S ribosomal RNA", at positions 35 to 154 of the family's 154-position model. The record is from RNAcentral.
GAUGAAGAACGUAGCGAAAUGCGAUAAGUAAUGCGAAUUGCAGAAUUUCCGUGAGUCAUCGAAUCUUUGAACGCACAUUGCGCCCAUUGGUAUUCCGAUGGGCAUGCCUGUUCGAGCGUCAUUAUCUUCCCUCAAACCUCGCGUUUGGUGUUGGGCCGUGCUGGUUCCUGCGUGACCAACUGGCCUCAAAGACAAUGACGGCGUCCGUGGGACCCUCGAUGCAACGAGCUUCUCAGGAGCACGCGUCGAGUUUCAAGGACCUUCCGGGCCGGUCUCUUCUCAUGUUAUUACAAGGUUGACCUCGGAUCAGGUAGGGAUACCCGCUGAACUUAAGCAUAUCAAUAAGCGGAGGA